This 1438-nucleotide long non-coding RNA is filed under the name Equus caballus (horse). Its description in RNAcentral is "lncRNA (ENSECAG00000047068.1)". Lineage: Eukaryota; Metazoa; Chordata; Mammalia; Perissodactyla; Equidae. The record is from RNAcentral.
CACAGAUCUGCCUGAAGCCAAAGCCUAUGUCAACGGCUACAUGGCCGCUGCCCGGGGCCAGCAUCCCGGCCUCCAGAGUUCCCACGGCAGAAUUCUUCCCCACCCGCAGCAUCUCCCACACGGUUCUUCAACCUCCAGCCUUUUGCCAAGGAUGGCUUGAUACACACAGCCCAGAAUUCCCUGCGUGUACACAAUAGAUCUUCAUUGGCAAAAUGGCUGCUCUCAAAUGUCACGUACCCAGAAGAGGAUGCGUCAUAGACCCAGCCAAAGGGAACCCAGGCUAUGAAUGGGCAGCACAUGCUGUAGACUGGUCCCUCUUAUCCACUGGUAAGAGGGGACUGACUGUGGGCAAAAUCUCCAGCCUUGGAAGAAACAAAGGACACCCUGUGCUGUAUGUGAAUCAGCCCCGUAUGAAGAGUACUGUGGUCUUUUCCUCCCCUCGCCUUUCUUGUCUAAUUCAAAGAGCCAAGCUGGUGUAACGAGAAGAGGUAGACAGGGCCUCAACUCUGGCUCCUGACUGUGGAGCCGUGUGGCCUUCGGCAAGUCAUUUCACCUCUUUGAGACUCCUUUUCUUUAGCUGUAAAAUGAAGAGAAUACCCACUUGUGGGGUUGAUGUGUGGGUGAAAUGAUUUCACUUACACUGCAUGCCCGUCGCAUGCUUCGAUUCCCUAUAAAGCUUGAAGAAUAAAUUGGUACCUGAUCACCAAACUCAGUUCCUCUUCUUCCUGGAGACAUGCUAGAGGACAUUUUCCAGCCUCCCCUGUGGCCUUGUGCUGUGGCCAUGUGAGCAAGCUCUGGCAGCGGACUGUGAGAAAAAGCGUGCCGUGCAAGCCACCUCCAGACUCAGCCCAUAAAAUCGUCUAUGCUUGUGGGCCCAAGGCAGCCCUUGAGACAACCUGUUGAAAUGGGCAAAAUCUGGACUUCUAUGAAUCCCUGAAUGACUACAUAGAGUCCUUGCUGCCAGUGAGGAAACUGAUCUGGACUUUACGUGACCAAGAAAUACACCUUUAUAGUGUUAACCGACAUGGCUUGGGGUUUAUCUUUUGCAGCAGCUAGCAUUGCUUUAACCAACACAAAGUCGUUACUGAGAAGGAAAACCUAGGGGUCAGCCCCGUGGCCGAGUGGUUAAGUUCGUGCGCUCUGCUUCAGUGGCCCAGGGUUUCGCUGGUUCGGAUCCUGGGUGCAGACAUGGCACCACUCAUCAAGCCAUGCUGAGGCGGCGUCCCACAUGCCACAACUAGAAGGACCCACAACUAAAAAUACACAACUAUGUACUAGGGAGCUUUGGAGAGAAAAAGGAAAAAUAAAAUCUUUGGGAAAAAAAAAGGAAAACCUAAAUAGUUUUGAUUUAAACCACAGUGGCUUUUGGAAAACCAAAUAAGGAACCGUACAACUGUUAGAGGGGACAUUUAAAUUUUAAUAUCGUAUUUCACGAAAU